This 460-nucleotide ribosomal RNA is filed under the name uncultured bacterium. RNAcentral describes it as "partial 16S ribosomal RNA". It matches the Rfam family "Bacterial small subunit ribosomal RNA", at positions 338 to 795 of the family's 1533-position model. The record is from RNAcentral.
CCUACGGGAGGCAGCAGUGAGGAAUAUUGGUCAAUGGCCGGAAGGCUGAACCAGCCAUGCCGCGUGAAGGUCAGUGCCCUAUGGGCGUUAAACUUCUUUUGUGCGGGAGCAAUAAUGGUCACGUGUGGCUAGACGAGAGUACCGUACGAAUAAGCAUCGGCUAACUCCGUGCUAUCAGCCGCGGGAAUACGGGGGAUGCAAGCGUUAUCCGGAUUUCUUGGGUUGAAAGGGUGCGUAGGCUGGGAGGUAAACCAGCGGGGAAAUGCCCCCGCUCAACGGGGUGAAGUGCCAUGGAUACUGCCUUGCUGGAAUGCGGAUGCCGUGGGAGGAAUGUGUGGUGUAGCGGUGAAAUGCAUAGAUAUCACACAGAACACCGAUUGCGAAGGCAUCUCACGAAUCCGCGAUUGACGCUGAUGCACGAAAGCGUGGGUAUCAAACAGGAUUAGAUACCCUAGUAGUC